AUGGCGCUCGUCGUUUGGGACCCCAUGACGGGCUGCCGGAGGGAGAUGAACUUGCCGGACGUGGUGUACAACAACUACGGGGCUGCGGUGCUCUGCGCUGCGACCGGCUGUGACCACCGUGCGUGUCACGCAGCCCCCUUCCAGGUGGUCUUUGUCGGCCUGAACUUGACUGAAGAAGGUGAAUGUGUUGCCCACGCGUGGCUGUCCUUGCCGGAGACGAGUGACUGGAGCAAGCCGUGCCUUGGUCUUCAUCUGGCAGCUGAUGCAUUCAUCGAGCCAAUGCCCCCUGUCCUUGUUAAAGAAGCACUUCACUUCAUGCUUGAGUAUGAUGAUGAUGAUAGUGUAGCAAUUCUCAAGUAUGACUUGAGCUCUAAUUCCUUAUCGCUCAUUGAUGCGCCAAUUAUGGGGUCUGACGUUGCUGGUGCCACCAUGCUCAUGGCGAUGACAGAUGGCAGUUUAGGGUAUGCACUUGUGGUUGGGUUAAUGCUCUACCUAUGGUCAAGACAGAUGGAUUCCAGCAGAGUUGCGCCAUGGGGUCCAUGUACAAAUAUCAAUCUUGGGAAGCUUCUCCCCAUCCAAAAUCACAAGAAAAGACUUAGACUGGUUGGAUCCGGGGAAGCCAGUGAUAUCGUUUUCGUGACCACAGACCUGGGCAUCUACGAAAUUAAUGUCAAGUCGCAGCAGUGGAAGAGGCUAUGGAAGAGAGAGAAAUUUUGUGCUUUGAUUCCGUUCAUGAGUUUUUACAAUCCA
This 750-nucleotide ribosomal RNA is filed under the name Triticum aestivum (bread wheat). RNAcentral describes it as "partial small subunit ribosomal RNA". The record is from RNAcentral. Lineage: Eukaryota; Viridiplantae; Streptophyta; Magnoliopsida; Poales; Poaceae.